Long non-coding RNA from Molossus molossus (Pallas's mastiff bat), 1444 nucleotides. RefSeq lists it as uncharacterized. NCBI's taxonomy places the organism in Eukaryota, Metazoa, Chordata, Mammalia, Chiroptera, Molossidae. The record is from RefSeq and is a predicted model, not a curated record. The transcript is spliced from 6 exons.
AAGUGUCGACUGUGACAAGAUGGAGAAACCCUGGACAGACUUCCUGAUCAACCAGAAGGGAAAAAUUCGUAGUAUCACCUGGUCGCUUUGAUGAAGGAUACCAAACCCUUGUGAUAGAAUCGACUCGUCCCUGAUGAAACUUAUCAACUAUUAAUUAGUUCACUCAGCUGACCAGGGAUCCACCUGCGUCAGAUGAUAUUAAAUGCUAUAGGAAAAGGAAACAUCUGGGACUCAGAAGCCCUUGAAUUGGAAACUCUCUGCCUUCCUGCCACCGAGGUCUGAAAUUGGGUACUGCUCUAAAUGAAGCUGAAAACUCAGCUGCAACUGAAAAUGUGCGGCCUUACGUUAGCAGUUACCCAUGGUCAACCACAGUUUGAAAAUAUGAAAUGGAGAAAUUCUAGAAAGAAGCAAUCCCUAAGUUCUAAGGUGCGCACCGUGCCGAGCAUGAUGAGAUCUCGCGAGUCCGCAGCCUCCCGUCCUGGAGGGGAGUCUCCCUUUCUCCGGGUCUCCUCGCCGUCAGGAGCCGUCCUGGUCAUCGGAUGGAUAACUGUCCAGGUCACCUGACUUCCCUGCAUAGUGACCUCAAAGCACAAGAACAGUGACACCGGCUGGCAGGUGCCCCUCCAAGGGAGAGGUGCGCGUCUCCACUCCCCGGGAACAGGAGCAGUAGCCAGGCUGCGGAUCGGCGGCGAGAGCGUGUCCUGCCCGGGAAGCUGAAGGAAGAAGGGAAUCCGGCUGCCUUUGCUGUCACACCGCACACUGCCGAGUGUGGCCAGCGUGCGCGCGGGAAGGGCCCCGUACCCUGCAGAAGGCGGCCCUUGCUGCGGGGAAGACACGGACUGGAAGCGCCUGCUGGCCGAGGGCAGACAGCCUGGACGGGGACUUCAGCACAGGGUCCCCUGACACCAGCGACGCCAGGCCCCCGUCGGCAGGUGACGGCCGUGUGACAGACUCAGGGGGGUCUUGGCAUCUCCUCACCUCACAUCACCGUCGUCAUACAAGGAUUCCACAUGGAAGUGAAAUCCCGUGGUGCGUCUCUCUCUCAGAAUGGCUGAUUUCACUUAACACGAUGCUCUCCAGGUCCAGCCAUGCUGCCACAAAAGGUUAAUCUGUAUGUUCUAGGGUCAUCAUUGUUGGCAUUAAAUAUCUUUGGGCCAGAGUUGUGGCAUCUUUUCCUAAUUCCAGUAAACUCAUACCAGACAGGAUGGAAUUUCAUAUUCAACACAACACGCUCUGAAGUCUGGCUGAGUGAGUUUGAAUCCCAGAUUCACUCCUUUGUAGCCAGGAGUUCUGGGCAAUUUCCUCGACAGCUCUGGGCCUCAGUUUCCACACCUGCACCAUAAAAAGGUCUUAUAUCGACAGUGACUACACACGCUUCUACAGCAGCUACUGGGGAAAAUCUUGGAGCAAAGGAGUUUUUCCACUAUAAGGGGAAUUAUAACGA